Molecule: ribosomal RNA, 253 nt
Filed under: uncultured bacterium
Lineage: Bacteria
Description: partial 16S ribosomal RNA
Rfam family: Bacterial small subunit ribosomal RNA
Source: RNAcentral
UACGGAGGGUGCAAGCGUUACUCGGAAUCACUGGGCGUAAAGGACGCGUAGGCGGGCUUGUAAGUCAGAUGUGAAAUCCUACAGCUUAACUGUAGAACUGCAUUUGAAACUACGAGCCUAGAGUAUGGGAGGGGGAGAUGGAAUUAGUGGUGUAGGGGUAAAAUCCGUAGAUAUCACUAGGAAUACCGAAAGCGAAGGCGAUCUCCUGGAACAUAACUGACGCUAAGGCGUGAAAGCGUGGGGAGCAAACAGG